UACGAAGGGGGCUAGCGUUGCUCGGAAUUACUGGGCGUAAAGGGCGCGUAGGCGGUUCGUCGCGUCGGCUGUGAAAACCUGAGGCUCAACCUCAGGCCUGCAGUCGAUACGGGCGGACUUGAGUACUGCAGGGGAGACUGGAAUUCCUGGUGUAGCGGUGAAAUGCGCAGAUAUCAGGAGGAACACCGGUGGCGAAGGCGGGUCUCUGGGCAGUAACUGACGCUGAGGAGCGAAAGCGUGGGGGAGCGAACAGG
This 254-nucleotide ribosomal RNA is filed under the name uncultured bacterium. RNAcentral describes it as "partial 16S ribosomal RNA". It matches the Rfam family "Bacterial small subunit ribosomal RNA", at positions 524 to 776 of the family's 1533-position model. The record is from RNAcentral.